This 282-nucleotide long non-coding RNA is filed under the name Lathyrus oleraceus (garden pea). Its description in RNAcentral is "Pisum sativum (pea) long non-coding RNA (PSAT_LNC023011)". Lineage: Eukaryota; Viridiplantae; Streptophyta; Magnoliopsida; Fabales; Fabaceae. The record is from RNAcentral.
AAAAUAUAAAAUUGGUUAAUCACACAAUACUCUUAAAUAAAAAAAUAAUAUUUUUUAUAUAUUUUUAUAAAAUAAUAUUUUAUUAUUAUAAUAUUUUACUGUUCACCGUAUUGGUGAACAAUAAAAUAUGGUGUAGUAUAUGUUUUGGUGUAUGAAUAAUAUUUUUCUAUUAUUUAUAACUACUCAUUUGACACAAUAAAAAAGAAAAAAACUAAUUAAAAAAGAAAUAUAUAUCUAUAGUGUAUAACAUAAGGUGUUGGACAUCUAAAAUGGUGUCAAAAU